GUUUUAAAGAUUAAUAAUUAAUUUUAAGUCAAAUCUGCCCAAUGAAUUAAUUUAAAUGGCUGCAGUUUAUUCUGUACUAAGGUAGCAUAAUAAUUUGUUUUUUAAUUAAAAACUAGAAUGAAAGAUUUAAUGAAAUAUAAACUGUUUCAAUUAAAUUAAUAUUUAAUUUUUUAUUUAAGUAAAAAAACUUUAAUAAAAUUUAAAGACGACAAGACCCUAUAGAAUUUUAUUUAUUUUUUUUUUAUCAAAUUAAAAUAAAUUUUAUUGGGGUAAUAAAAAAAUUUAAAAAAUUUUUUUUAAAUUAAACAUAACUAAAUGAUUUAAUUAUAUCUUAUAUAUAAAUUAAAAAAAUUAAUUACCUUAGGGAUAACAGCAUAAUUUUUUUUA
RNAcentral lists this ribosomal RNA (387 nucleotides) under Stenobracon unifasciatus. RNAcentral's name for it is "partial 16S ribosomal RNA". The record is from RNAcentral. Lineage: Eukaryota; Metazoa; Arthropoda; Insecta; Hymenoptera; Braconidae.